This 248-nucleotide ribosomal RNA is filed under the name uncultured bacterium. RNAcentral describes it as "partial 16S ribosomal RNA". It matches the Rfam family "Bacterial small subunit ribosomal RNA", at positions 524 to 769 of the family's 1533-position model. The record is from RNAcentral.
GACGAAGGAUGCAAGCGUUAUCCGGAUUCAUUGGGUUUAAAGGGUCCGUAGGCGGACUCGUAAGUCAGUGGUGAAAUCUCAUAGCUUAACUAUGAAACUGCCAUUGAUACUGCGGGUCUUGAGUAAGGUAGAGGUAGCUGGAAUAAGUAGUGUAGCGGUGAAAUGCAUAGAUAUUACUUAGAACACCAAAUUGCGAAGGCAGGUUACCAUGUCUUAACCUGACGCUGAUGGACGAAAGCGUGGGGAGC